RNAcentral lists this microRNA (20 nucleotides) under Sus scrofa (pig). RNAcentral's name for it is "ssc-mir106". The record is from RNAcentral. Lineage: Eukaryota; Metazoa; Chordata; Mammalia; Artiodactyla; Suidae.
UGGGGGGGAGGGGCCUUGGG